Molecule: long non-coding RNA, 1824 nt
Filed under: Mus musculus (house mouse)
Lineage: Eukaryota; Metazoa; Chordata; Mammalia; Rodentia; Muridae
Description: predicted gene, 35406
Source: RNAcentral
UUGGCUUCCACAUGGUUUCUGGUGACAGCACUGACCACGAACACAGCUCCUCCUGGCUACAGCAGGCCCACCUGUCUAGACAUGGUUGUUGGAGGUAGCACAGACCAUGGACAUCCAGACGGUGGGCAUGACCAUGACCUCAGGUGGUAGUACAGGACACUCACAUCAACAUGACCUUCGGCAGCAGCACAGCCCACAUGACCUCAGGCUGCAGCACAGACCACAAACAUCACAUGGCCUUCUAUGGUAACACAGGCCAUGGACAUCAACACAGAUGCCAGCUGUGGUAUGUGAGGAGUACACUGUUGCUGUCAGAAGAGAGCAUCGGAUCCCCAUUACAGAUGGUUGUGAGCCAUCAUGUGGUUGCUGGGCAUUGAACUCAGGACCUCUGGAAGAGCAGUCAGUGCUCUUAGCCACUGAGCCAUCUCUCCAGCCCCGAGGCUUUUAAGAGUUCACAGGGCGGCUCCUUUACAACUGUGCACUUAGUUUCCAGGAGAGCCAGAGGGACCCUGCAGGAGCUGCCUUUUCUCUCUCAGGAUGAGGAGCAGAGUUGAAGCCCAUGCCGAGAGUCAAGGCUGCAAGAUCAAAGAUCAGAGGGUUGUCCACUCAGCCUGGUUACCAAUGACAAAGAAAGCGCUCAGAGAAACCUCUGGACUUGUGAAAGGACACAGACCCCCUUAGAAACAAGGUGACCUGACCGCAGAGGCCCCAGCUCCGGCUCGAGGUGAGCCAAGGGGACGAUCACGCACAAGAACCAUGAGGCCCAAUCCGCACAGAGUUGAGGUGGUGACAUGCCCAUUCCGAAGUAUGGAAGGGACUGGUGGCCCUCGAAUCAGGUCAGGCCAUCUCCAGUCACGACGUCUGGCUCAGAAGUAGAAGCUUGGCAGAAGCUAGCUGUUCCCAGAGCUGAAUCAACCCCGUGCCAAUUUGGCUUAUGAAAUGUUUACCAGCAGCGAGGGAGAGCGUGGCAAAAGGCACAGCGAGGCCCAAAGGGCUUUUAAAACUCCACUUGCUUAAUUUCUGUUUUUAUAAUAAUAAGCUUCCGGGAGUGAGUUUCAACAAGCCCGGCCCUCUCAAUUGUAGGACCCUGGCCAGAAAGCAAAAGAAGGGUCCCGUGCAGACAUGUGUAAAGGAAAUCUAUUUAAAUAAACUAUCUGAUGAAACGGCAUAAAGACAUACCCUUACGUUUACCUUCAAAUGCCCACCCAUCCCAGUCGUGUCUGGAUUUAGAAUCGUCAGUGAUACAGGUUGUUGAAGUGCAUAUCUGUAACACCAGCCUUUGGAGGAAAAGACAGAAGGAUCUGGAGUUUCAAGUCAGCCCAGGCUAGAGUGAGAUCCAUUCUUCAAACCAGCCAGACAACAAACAAAAAACCCUGAAACUGUUGAGAGUUCCACAGUGUCUGUCUGUAAGACACCUCAGUGGAAAUGUCCCUAACCUCGGGCUCCUUCCAGGACUGUGGACAUAGCUCCCUUUUCACCAAAUGGUCAUCUUUCUCGCUGUACUUGGGGUCCAACACAACAGGCUGUGCCUCUGUGAGGGUGUCCCGCUAACCCACUGCAGCCCCGGGACCCGAGGCCAGGCAUUCCCACUCUAUCACUACUUUCUAGGCACCCCAGCCCUGCACCACAAUGGAGACAUCUACCUUGCUUACCCAAGAGCAUUGGAAUUGAAUCUGUGAAAGGAAGGCAGCAGUAGUAACUGCAUGGUGUGGUUUGAAGAUUGCCGUUAGCUCCCGAACAGCUGCUGCAGGAUAAAACUUCCCCAAGGACACGGUGUCUCCUCACUCUCUCCUCCCAAAAACACUGAGUCCCGAGACUUGCCAC